This 259-nucleotide ribosomal RNA is filed under the name uncultured bacterium. Its description in RNAcentral is "partial 16S ribosomal RNA". It matches the Rfam family "Bacterial small subunit ribosomal RNA", at positions 524 to 776 of the family's 1533-position model. The record is from RNAcentral.
UACGAAGGGGGGCUAGCGUUGCUCGGAAUCACUGGGCGUAAAGGGUGCGUAGGCGGGUCUUUUAAGUCAGGUGUGAAAGCCCGGAGCUUAACUCCGGAAUUGCGCCUGAAACUACAUGGCUAGAGCAUUGGAGAGGGAAGUGGAAUUCACGGUGUAGCAGUGAAAUGCGUAGAUAUCGUGAGGAAGACCAGCUGGCGGCGAAGGCGGAUCUCUGGGCCACUACUGACGCUGAGAAGCGAAAGCAUGGGGAGCGAACAGG